UACAGAGGUCUCGAGCGUUGUUCGGAUUUACUGGGCGUAAAGGGAGCGUAGGCGGUUCGGUAUGUCGAAUGUGAAAGCCCACAACUCAACUGUGGAAAUGCAUUCGAAACUGCCGGGCUAGAGUACUGGAGAGGAGAGCGGAAUUCUUGGUGUAGCGGUGAAAUGCGUAGAUAUCAAGAGGAACACCGGUGGCGAAGGCGGCUCUCUGGACAGAUACUGACGCUGAGGCUCUAAAGUUAGGGGAGCAAACAGGAUUAGAUACCCUGGUAGUCCUAACCUUAAACGGUGUACACUUGGUGUGCGAGGAAUUGUCCCUUUGCGCGCCGUAGCUAACGCGAUAAGUGUACCGCCUGGGGAGUACGGUCGCAAGAUUAAA
This 376-nucleotide ribosomal RNA is filed under the name uncultured bacterium. Its description in RNAcentral is "bacterial SSU rRNA". It matches the Rfam family "Bacterial small subunit ribosomal RNA", at positions 524 to 898 of the family's 1533-position model. The record is from RNAcentral.